This 240-nucleotide unclassified non-coding RNA is filed under the name soil metagenome. RNAcentral describes it as "partial contains 5.8S ribosomal RNA, internal transcribed spacer 2, and large subunit ribosomal RNA". The record is from RNAcentral.
AAGACUAUAGACCUGCGGAGUACCUGCGGAAGGAUCAUUAUCGAAUCCUUAAGGAUGUUGCUGGUCUCUCGGGACAUGUGCACUCCGCCUUUUCUAUACACCUGUGAACUUAUUGUAGGUGGCAUUACUUGCCACCUAUGUUUUUAUAACACACAUGUAUAUUGAAUGUCUAAAUAUGGCCUUUAUUGGUCAGUAACUUAAUACAACUUUUAACAAUGGAUCUCUAGAUCGGAAGAGCAC